CUAGAUCGUAUGAUUACAUGGAUAACUGUGGUAAUUCUAGAGCUAAUACAUGCAACAUGCCCAGCCAACUAGCGUGGCGGGCGCAGUUAUUAGAACAAAACCAAUCCGGCUACGGUCGGUACUUUGGUGACUCUGAAUAACCGAAGCGGAGCGCAAAGGGCUCGUCCCGGCGCCAGAUCUUUCAAGUGUCUGACUUAUCAGCUUGUUGCGAGGUUAUGUUCCUCGCAUGGCUAUUACGGGUGACGGGGUAUCAGGGUCCGAUACCGGAGAGGGAGCCUGAGAAAUGGCUACCACAUCCAAGGAAGGCAGCAGGCGCGCAAAUUACCCACUCCCGGCACGGGGAGGUAGUGACGAAAAAUAACGAUGCGAGGGCUUACAGCCUUUCGUAAUCGGAAUGAGUACACUUUAAAUCCUUUAACGAGGAUCUAUUGGAGGGCAAGUCUGGUGCCAGCAGCCGCGGUAAUUCCAGCUCCAAUAGCGUAUAUUAAAGUUGCUGCGGUUAAAAAGCUCGUAGUUGGAUCCGGGUAGUCGACGCGCGGUGGGCUCAAACGCUCUACUGCGUGCUCGGCGCCACUAUCCGGCAUGUCUUGCAUGUUCUUAACUGAGUGUGCUUGGCGGCUGGAACGUUUACUUUGAAAAAAUUAGAGUGCUUAAAGCAGGCAUAUGGCCUUGCAUAAUGGUGCAUGGAAUAAUGGAAUAGGACAUCGGUCCUAUUUUGUUGGUUUUCGGGGCUCGAUGUAAUGAUUAAGAGGAACAGACGGGGACAUUCGUAUUGCGGCGUUAGAGGUGAAAUUCUUGGAUCGUCGCAAGAUGAACUACUGCGAAAGCAUUUGUCAAGAAUGUUUUCAUUAAUCAAGAACGAAAGUUAGAGGUUCGAAGGCGAUCAGAUACCGCCCUAGUUCUAACCAUAAACGAUGCCAACCAGCGAUCCGUCGGUGUUCAUUCAAUGACUCGACGGGCAGCUUCCGGGAAACCAAAGUGCUUAGGUUCCGGGGGAAGUAUGGUUGCAAAGCUGAAACUUAAAGGAAUGACGAAAGGCCC
This 1041-nucleotide ribosomal RNA is filed under the name Hexapodibius micronyx. RNAcentral describes it as "SSU rRNA". It matches the Rfam family "Eukaryotic small subunit ribosomal RNA", at positions 120 to 1167 of the family's 1831-position model. Lineage: Eukaryota; Metazoa; Tardigrada; Eutardigrada; Parachela; Hexapodibiidae. The record is from RNAcentral.